AGGGAAUCUUCCGCAAUGGACGAAAGUCUGACGGAGCAACGCCGCGUGAGCGAUGAAGGUCUUCGGAUCGUAAAGCUCUGUUGUCAGGGAAGAACAAGUACGAGAGUAACUGCUCGUACCUUGACGGUACCUGACCAGAAAGCCACGGCUAACUACGUGCCAGCAGCCGCGGUAAUACGUAGGUGGCAAGCGUUGUCCGGAAUUAUUGGGCGUAAAGGGCUCGCAGGCUGUUCCUUAAGUCUGAUGUGAAAUCUUGCGGCUUAACCGUAAGCGGUCAUUGGAAACUGGGGGACUUGAGUGCAGAAGAGGAGAGUGGAAUUCCACGUGUAGCGGUGAAAUGCGUAGAGAUGUGGAGGAACACCAGUGGCGAAGGCGGCUCUCUGGUCUGUAACUGACGCUGAGGAGCGAAAGCGUGGGGAGCAAAC
This 425-nucleotide ribosomal RNA is filed under the name uncultured bacterium. RNAcentral's name for it is "bacterial SSU rRNA". It matches the Rfam family "Bacterial small subunit ribosomal RNA", at positions 356 to 773 of the family's 1533-position model. The record is from RNAcentral.